AUACCAUGAUGUGGACACGUAACCAUCAGAACCUUGAACCUCUUCCACGUUUCUUGUAAUGUGUCUAUUGGUUUCUGUCUGAAGCUUAAUAUCUCAUCAAUUUGUUA
This 107-nucleotide small nucleolar RNA is filed under the name Nicotiana attenuata. RNAcentral describes it as "Plant small nucleolar RNA R71". It matches the Rfam family "Plant small nucleolar RNA R71". Rfam says of the family: R71 is a member of the C/D box family of snoRNAs containing the C (UGAUGA) and D (CUGA) box motifs. Multiple nearly identical copies of this snoRNA have been identified in Arabidopsis, and it is thought to function as a 2'-O-ribose methylation guide for 18S ribosomal RNA. Lineage: Eukaryota; Viridiplantae; Streptophyta; Magnoliopsida; Solanales; Solanaceae. The record is from Rfam by way of RNAcentral.